GAACGAGAAAGCGGGGGCAACUCCGUGAGUAAAGUGGCGUACGGGUGAGUAACACGUAGCUAACCUACCCUCGAGUGAGGAAUAACNCUGGGGAAACUCNGGGCUAAUACCCCAUAACAUCCCGAGCGAUCGGGAGCAAAGGUCCGCAAGGGCCGCUUGAGGAGGGGGUCGCGGCUGAUUAGCUAGUUGGUAGGGUAAUGGCCUACCAAGGCGAAGAUCGGUAGCCGGCCUGAGAGGGCGCACGGCCACACUGGAACUGAAACACGGUCCAGACUCCUACGGGAGGCAGCAGUGGGGAAUUUUGCGCAAUGGGGGAAACCCUGACGCAGCAACGCCGCGUGGAGGAUGAAGUCCCUUGGGACGUANACUCCUUUCGACCGGGACGAUACUGACGGUACCGGAAGAAGAAGCACCGGCUAACUCUGUG
Molecule: ribosomal RNA, 427 nt
Filed under: uncultured bacterium
Lineage: Bacteria
Description: bacterial SSU rRNA
Rfam family: Bacterial small subunit ribosomal RNA
Source: RNAcentral